Molecule: ribosomal RNA, 1215 nt
Filed under: Bacillus pumilus
Lineage: Bacteria; Bacillati; Bacillota; Bacilli; Caryophanales; Bacillaceae
Description: bacterial SSU rRNA
Rfam family: Bacterial small subunit ribosomal RNA
Source: RNAcentral
GAAACCGGAGCUAAUACCGGAUAGUUCCUUGAACCGCAUGGUUCAAGGAUGAAAGACGGUUUCGGCUGUCACUUACAGAUGGACCCGCGGCGCAUUAGCUAGUUGGUGGGGUAAUGGCUCACCAAGGCGACGAUGCGUAGCCGACCUGAGAGGGUGAUCGGCCACACUGGGACUGAGACACGGCCCAGACUCCUACGGGAGGCAGCAGUAGGGAAUCUUCCGCAAUGGACGAAAGUCUGACGGAGCAACGCCGCGUGAGUGAUGAAGGUUUUCGGAUCGUAAAGCUCUGUUGUUAGGGAAGAACAAGUGCGAGAGUAACUGCUCGCACCUUGACGGUACCUAACCAGAAAGCCACGGCUAACUACGUGCCAGCAGCCGCGGUAAUACGUAGGUGGCAAGCGUUGUCCGGAAUUAUUGGGCGUAAAGGGCUCGCAGGCGGUUUCUUAAGUCUGAUGUGAAAGCCCCCGGGCUCAACCGGGGAGGGUCAUUGGAAACUGGGAAACUUGAGUGCAGAAGAGGAGAGUGGAAUUCCACGUGUAGCGGUGAAAUGCGUAGAGAUGUGGAGGAACACCAGUGGCGAAGGCGACUCUCUGGUCUGUAACUGACGCUGAGGAGCGAAAGCGUGGGGAGCGAACAGGAUUAGAUACCCUGGUAGUCCACGCCGUAAACGAUGAGUGCUAAGUGUUAGGGGGUUUCCGCCCCUUAGUGCUGCAGCUAACGCAUUAAGCACUCCGCCUGGGGAGUACGGUCGCAAGACUGAAACUCAAAGGAAUUGACGGGGGCCCGCACAAGCGGUGGAGCAUGUGGUUUAAUUCGAAGCAACGCGAAGAACCUUACCAGGUCUUGACAUCCUCUGACAACCCUAGAGAUAGGGCUUUCCCUUCGGGGACAGAGUGACAGGUGGUGCAUGGUUGUCGUCAGCUCGUGUCGUGAGAUGUUGGGUUAAGUCCCGCAACGAGCGCAACCCUUGAUCUUAGUUGCCAGCAUUUAGUUGGGCACUCUAAGGUGACUGCCGGUGACAAACCGGAGGAAGGUGGGGAUGACGUCAAAUCAUCAUGCCCCUUAUGACCUGGGCUACACACGUGCUACAAUGGACAGAACAAAGGGCUGCGAGACCGCAAGGUUUAGCCAAUCCCAUAAAUCUGUUCUCAGUUCGGAUCGCAGUCUGCAACUCGACUGCGUGAAGCUGGAAUCGCUAGUAAUCGCGGAUCAGCA